Meleagris gallopavo (turkey) is the source of this 521-nucleotide non-coding RNA. The record is from RefSeq and is a predicted model, not a curated record. NCBI's taxonomy places the organism in Eukaryota, Metazoa, Chordata, Aves, Galliformes, Phasianidae.
GUGUCCAGCUUCCCAAGCCCCUGUAGUCCUGCCCUGCCAGUGACGGCCUGCAUUUCCUUUCCUUAGCCCUCCGAAGGCCGGUUCUUAGGAGCUCUGCUGGUCCUGAAGUGGGAGCGAGGCUGGAGAAGCACAUAUCGACAGCUGUUCUCCAGAAGCUUUAUCAGAACGUGCCACUGGAGCUGUGCUCGGAGCUACGGCCGGUCACCAGCCUCUUUGUCCAGCUGCAGUUUGCUGACAAGAUCAGCACAGUGGAGCUCAGCAGCAGCCUCAGCGAUAGCAGCAGUAUGAUUUCAGAAAUCAUCAGCCCUCACAAGGGUGAAAUCAACAAAACUCUUCUGUUUGACAAAGGCUGCACCUUCCUCUGUGUGUUUGGAUUUCCUGGAGAAAAGUUGGCCUGUGAGAGCACCCACGCCUUGGAAUGUGCUAUGCAGAUCCUCCGCAUGGCCUCCACGGAGCUGGGAAAACUCCAGUGAGUGCAUGUUAUGGGGUGUGUGUGCUGCCUGGGAUGGCACGAGAGGACU